GGUUGAUCCUGCCAGUAACAUAUGCUUGUCUCAAAGAUUAAGCCAUGCAUGUCUAAGUGUGAACUCAUUUCGCAUAGCUGAACUGCGUACAGCUCAUUAAAUCAGUUAUAAUUUCUUUGAAGGUUGGUGUAUUUGUCAAAGAUACUAUACGGAUAACCGUAGUAAUUCUAGAGCUAAUACGUGCGUUGAGGGGGGGUGGUGUUUAAAAGCCACCCUCUUGUGCUGAUUAGAUAUCAUGUUGGUUGUUGCAUGUAAACUUAUAUGAGACGACCCAUAAUCAUCAUUCUGAUG
This 291-nucleotide ribosomal RNA is filed under the name uncultured eukaryote. RNAcentral's name for it is "partial 18S ribosomal RNA". It matches the Rfam family "Eukaryotic small subunit ribosomal RNA", at positions 6 to 270 of the family's 1831-position model. The record is from RNAcentral.